AUGGGGGACGAAACUUUGCUGGAGCGUAUACUCAAUGGAGACGAGGAACCAAAGGAUCUGCCAUUAGGGCUGUUGCAAAGUAUCACGAAUGAUUUCUCUGAAGAGAGAAAAAUUGGUCAGGGUGGAUUUGGAGCGGUUUACAAGGGUGUACUCCGAAAUGGAAUUAUUGUUGCUGUGAAGAGGAUUUAUGUGACUGCACACACAAUUGAUGACAAGCUAUUUCGCCGUGAGUUUAAUAGCCUGAGGAAGAUUAAUCAUCAAAAUGUAGUCCGCUUUCUUGGCUUCUGUUCUAAUACGUAUCAGACACCGAUACAAGAGGCUGGGUCAGAAGAAAUUAACUUGGCCAAUGUAAGAGAAAGAUUGCUCUGUUUCGAGUACAUCAGCAAUGGAAGUCUUGAUAAACAUAUUACUGAUGAAUUAAGGGGACUUGAAUGGGAAACACGUUAUGAAAUAAUCAUUGGAAUUUGCAAGGGUCUGCGCUAUCUUCAUGAGGAAACCAGUAUUGUUCAUAUGGACCUUAAGCCAGAAAAUAUAUUACUAGAUGGCACAUAUUUGAUUCCAAAAUUCACAGAUUUUGGUUUGUCAAGACCAAAUAAAAACACGCAUACUAUGGGCCUACGUUUUGGAACACGAGGAUAUAUUGCACCGGAAUACGAGAAUUCUGGCAAAGCUUCAGUUAAAUCUGACAUAUAUAGUUUGGGUGCCAUAAUCUUCGAAUUAGUAACAGGUUGUAUGGGCAUCCCCGAUGAAAACAAUGUACUUCGGAGGUGGAGGCACAGGUGGACUAAGCCACCGACGUUACUACAAUACCAGCAAGUAACUAGAUGCUUGAACAUAGCAGUACGCUGCAGGGAACAAAAUCCAGAAGCCAGACCUUCCAUAUUGAAGAUAAUUAGCUUUCUGAGUGAAUCUGGAAGUACAGAUAUGCACACUAGCCAGAUAAGACCUUGUUACAUUGAAGAUGACAUGCUGGGGAUUAAGCCCCUCGAGCUACUUGUUCCUUUUGAGCUUAAGAAGAUAUCAUGCUUCACAAUUGAGCUAAUCAACGAUACACAUAGUUGCAUUGCCUUCAACAUCAAACCAUCAAACCCACCAUGGUACAGAGCACAGCCAGACAAAGGCAUUGUGCGACAACAAUGCAAGUAUGGUGUGAAGAUAACAGUGCCACCACAAGAUAUGCACCAUGCUGACAAGUUUAUCGUGAAGAGCAUGAAAGUGAGCGAGGGUCUCACAGAUGAGGAUAUCAUAGAACACACGUUCGAAGAGGCUGGUAAAAUUGCUGAUGAGGUGAAUUUGAUGGUUGUAUAUGAGCCUCACGAAAACUCCAAGAGUAGAGAAGAGACCAACAAGCCAGUUGAGGAAGUCCCCAAGGUGGAAAGGAGAAAGAUUGAUGUAUCUGCUUCCGGAAAGAGCAAACUUGGUAACGGUGGAAAUGCAGAGGCAGCUUCCAUGGCUAUCAAAUCAAGGGUGCAAGGACAAUGUAUCAAGCAAAGAGAGCAGCGUCGUUUCUACCCACGGCAAAGCUCCUCACACCAUUCUCUGGGUUACAUGCUGAUCCCGCUGCUGGACAGAGUAGCGGUCAAGGCUGGUGACGCGCAGGUGGCCAAGCUGCUGCGGGCGUGCGGUCUGGGCAAGGCUCGCCAGAAGCUAGAGUGCCACCUCGCGGACAUCCAAUGUAUCCUGCUGGACGCCGACACCAAGAGCCGAACCAAUGCUGCUGUCCACUCGUGGAUGGAGGACCUCAAGACUGUCGCCUACCAAACUGACGACAUCCUCGACGACUUCCGCUACGAGGCAUUGCGCCGCCAUGCUGCCAAGAUCGGCCACGUUUCCACCGCACACAAGGUGCUGAGCUACACCACUUCCAAUAACCCGGUUAUUCUCCGUCACUCCAUGAGCAAGAAGAUGAAGGAUACAGUUGACAUGAUAGAUGAACUGGUCGAGAAGAUGAAUAGUUUUCACUUCCGACAGCAUACCGAGGCUCCACGCAUUGAUCAUCUGCAAACACACUCUCAAGUCGAUAAAUCACAGAUUGUGGGCAGACAAGAUGAGAAGGAACAACUGGUGAAGAUAUUGCUUGGCCACUGCUACAACAAAAAUAACAGCAACCAUGUCAUGGUGCUCCCCAUAAUUGGUAUGGGGGGAAUUGGUAAGACCACCCUUGCCCAACUUGUGCACAAUGACCAGAGGGUGAAGCAUCAUUUCGAGUUGGUCUUAUGGGCAUGUAUCUCCGAAAAGUUCGUUAUUGAGGAAAUUGUCCGAUCUGUAAUAGAAGUGGCCACGAUGAAGAAGUGUGAUUUGACUCAGAUGGAGGCACUGCAGAAGGAACUUUGUGGAGUUUUGGGCAAGAAAAGGUAUCUCCUAGUGUUGGACGAUGUUUGGAAUGAAGACGGACAUAAGUGGGAUGCUAUGAGAUCAUUACUAAACUCACAUGCUGGCUCAGGUAGUGCUAUAAUUGUGACAAGCCGCAGCGAUCAAGUUGCGUCUAUCAUGGGCACGCUUCCUCCACAUCACAUAUCACUUCUAAAUGAGGAUCAAUCAUGGGAGCUUUUUCACAGAAAUGCAUUUGGGAGGGAAGCGGAAAAGCAAGAUGAAUUGAUUACAGUCGCAAAGAAAAUUGUCCACAAGUGUAAGGGAUUGCCUCUUGCUAUUAAGACUAUAGCAGCUUUACUUCGUUCGAAGCAUCACAGUCAGUGGUUUUCUGUUUUGGAUAGCGAUGUCUGGAAAGAUGACAUCCUCACAUCUGCUAUUGUACCUGCACUACAACUGAGCUAUGAUCACUUGUCAUCCGAAGCAAAAAUAUGUUUCUCCUUCUGUGCUCUUUUCCCCAAGGAUAGCCCGAUGGAUAAAGACACGCUAAUCCAGUUAUGGAUAGCCAAUGACUUUAUUGCAUCAGAAACAAGAGGCCAAGAAAUUUUUGAUAUACUAGUUUGGAGAUGUUUCCUUCAAGAUGUGGAGAAUCAACACUACACUAAGAUCGGUGAUUAUGAGCAUAUCCACAGAUCAAUUAUUUGCAGGAUGCAUGAUCUCAUGCAUGACCUUGCUGAAUCCGUAAGUGGAAAUGAUUGCUUCAUUCUGCAAGAAUCUUCAUCAUGUCAAGAAAUUCUGCACGGACCCACUAACAUCGGUUCAUUACAGCAUGAGGUUCAGUAUUUAUCACUUGAUCAUGUGAGUAACAAUACUCUUGCAGCAAUGAAGGAAAUGCUAGCUCCCCGAGCCCGCACAAUAUUAUGUGUCCAAAGGGAGUUGCAGUGGACCCAAGCAUCUCUGGAUAAGGGCAAGUCUUUGAUUAUGGCAUUGUCAAAAUUCAUGUCAUUGCGAGCAUUGAGGACACUCUCAUUCGAGACACAAAUGGCAAACUUGAAGCAUCUUCGCUAUCUAGAUCUCUCAUAUUCUGGUAUAGCUACACUGCCAGGAUCCACUACCAUGUUGUAUAACCUGCAAACGUUGAAGCUCAUUGGUUGUGAAGAUCUUAAGAAAUUACCAGAGGGCAUGAGGUAUAUGAGCAGUCUUCGACACAUAUUUCUUGCUGGGUGUCCUAAUUUGGACUGCAUGCCACAAGGUGUUGGUCAGCUUAAUUCUCUGCAGACAUUGACGAAUUAUAUCAUUGAUAGUGAUGCAGGCCGUGGAAUUGAUCAACUGAAAGAUUUGAAUCUAGGUGGUAGUCUUUCUUUGACACAGCUGAGAAAAGUGCAUAGUGCAGAAAAUGCUAAACAAGGCAAUAUAUCCGCUAAGCAUAAUUUGAAAAGAAUCUCACUGAGUUGGUAUGGACUCUGUAGUAGAGCUGGAUAUGAAGUAGAUACUAAUGCAGAAGGAAUACUAGAGGCCCUUUGUCCUCACAAUGGUCUUGAAGUUUUACAGUUGUCUAAUUAUAGUGGUGCUAAAUUGUCAUCAUGGAUGCACAAGUCUACACUGUUAGAACAUCUGAGAGAGCUUCAUUUGCGUAGCUGCAGGAAGUGCAAGGAUCUUCCACCAUUAUGGCAGCUGCCCUCCCUCUGGUACUUGAAUUUGGAUAAUUUGGAUAGUGUGACAAGUAUGUGUGUUGGUAAUGAUGAUACAGACAAUGGGGAGUCCUGCAUUCCUCCAUCACCCAUCUUUCCUAAACUGCGAGUCAUGAUUGUUUACAAGAUGCCUAAGCUAGAGAGAUGGCACCAGGUGGCAAGACAAGUAUCGGCUGUAUCAUUCCCUCGGCUCAAAGUGCUACAUAUUUCUGGAUGCCCAAGUUUAGAGACACUGCCGGAGGGACUCCUGCAGCAGGUCUCAGCCCUCACGGAACUAGAUAUGAGAUAUUGCGACAAGCUGAAGGGAGCCUUCUCAAGAGGUGGUGCUUACUGGAAAUUGGUUGAAGCAAUUCCCAUGAGAACUGUUUUUUGA
This 4374-nucleotide ribosomal RNA is filed under the name Triticum aestivum (bread wheat). RNAcentral describes it as "partial small subunit ribosomal RNA". The record is from RNAcentral. Lineage: Eukaryota; Viridiplantae; Streptophyta; Magnoliopsida; Poales; Poaceae.